RNAcentral lists this non-coding RNA (184 nucleotides) under Sulfobacillus harzensis. RNAcentral describes it as "6S / SsrS RNA". It matches the Rfam family "6S / SsrS RNA". From Rfam's summary of the family: E. coli 6S RNA was the first non coding RNA to be sequenced, but its function was unknown until recently. It consists of 184 nucleotides that fold into an extended hairpin structure with a large single-stranded internal bulge. The 6S RNA specifically associates with RNA polymerase holoenzyme containing the sigma70 specificity factor. The record is from Rfam by way of RNAcentral. Lineage: Bacteria; Bacillati; Bacillota; Clostridia; Eubacteriales; Clostridiales Family XVII. Incertae Sedis.
AAAUCCCUGCUGUGUUCGGGACCAGACCGAUAUGUUUUGAGCCAACACCAAAACAUAGGGAACCUGAUCUUGACUGGCGGCCGUCCUGCCCCGCAUUGACGGGGACUGCGAAAACCAAGUCGGAGGUGCCCACCUGCCAGCGGCAGGUUCAAAACGUCGGGCGUUGCGGCAUGGCGGGGGAGAU